CUUUUACAAAAGAUGACUGACCAGGACGAUGUGGAGUCUUUCCUGCUAACCUUUGAGCGGACAGCGGAACGGGAGAAAUGGCCGCAGGUUCAUUGGGCAGGGAUCUUAGCACCACUCCUGAUAGGGGACGCCCAAAAAGCAUAUUCUGACUUGGAGCCGGACUCUGCUGCUGACUACAGUCAGUUGAAGAAGGAGAUAUUGGCCCGGGCGGGAGUUACUACAGCUGUACGAGCUCAGCGGUUCCAUGACUGGCAGUUCCUAAAGGAUAAAGUGCCGCGGUCUCAAAUGUUCGACCUGAUACAUCUAACCCGAAAAUGGUUACAACCGGAGCUCAACUCAUCACCAUUUUAUAUGUGUGCAAGUACGUCACGGUCGAAAUGAAAUCUGCAUUUGAAGAAACAGGAAAGAAACAGGAAAAACCAAAGAAGUAAUUGACACAAAGUAUGACUACAUGGAGGAAAAAAAGGGAUUCCGAUAAAAUAUGUCAAAUCUGAUAUCAGAUUCAUAGAAGUAAUGGAGACAAUUUGUCAGAGGCUCAUGCAUUAUAAUUUGCACAAAGAAAGAACAGGAAGCAACCGAUUUGCAAAGUGUUAUGUGAUGGUGGAGCAGAAUGAAGAUGUAAUUGAAGACUGGUAUAGGAAACAUCAGGAUGAGGAUCUCACCACUUACCUGUGUGAAAAGCAUGUACUGAUGGGGGAAAACCAAGAGUGCUUGGAUGAAGUUUGGACUUCAAAAAAGGGCGAAACGGCAGCUAUUGAUGAAAAGAAGAAGAAAAAGAAGAAAGGAACAAAUAAUGACAAGGAGAACAACAAAAAGAAGAGCAAGGGAAGGAAAAAGAAGACGAGUGACCUGGAGACUGAGAGAAGGGACAGAGCAGAGGAUUUUACAUCUGACUAAGACAUCCAGAAAAAGGUCCCCCUCACCCAUGAUAAAAGUGAUCUAUGAGAGAGACGCAAGGAUCCAAUGUGCUGUGGACUGGCUUCUUAAUACAGUACCAGGCAAAAUGUGCACCGCUUUUCACAAUGGAAUGAAGACCACUUAAUCCGUGUGAUUCAGGCCCCAAAAAGUUUGGCAUUGCUUUCAGGAAAAGUGAUGCACAUUUUUACUGUAGGAAAACACUUUAAAAAAUGAAUGUGGCUGACAUACUUCAUUUGGAACACUGGAAUCUCUGUAAGUGUAAGGAAGGAUUGAAAUUCUCUGUGUUUUUUAUCAGUUUCCAUAGUCCACUCUGAGUGCCACUCAAUACAAUUGGAGGGAUUUGAUUAUCUUAUCUGUGCAGCGGUCUGUGUGCAUUUGAGAUGUUAAGCUAUAUAACUAAUUGAUCCCACAAUGUUUUGGCAUAAACUGCUGUUCAGGUAUCAAAACUAAACUGCAUGUCAGUGGAAGUCAAACUAACCCUCUGAUUACAUUUAAAUGACGGUGCCCUCUCCUAUAAUUUAAAUUCAAAUUGUCUUCUCGGUUGAGUGAAGUAUAAGAAGACGUUGGCCAACGUCUAUUUCCUUGGAGUUCUCCUCGGGUUUAUGAUUCAGUGUUUGAGGUUAUAGAGCCACGAUUUUACGAGGCAGCCAAAAGAAGGGUUUAUUUUAAAUAAAUGUACUUUAUUCAUCUUUAGCCUGUUUCACUUUUCUAAUUGUUAGCCUGUGGGACAGUGUGUUUUAGUGUCCCCUGUACAUCAAGGCAAUAUACAGAUUUUACAAGUACAAGCUGCAGAUCCACUCAUCUAAUCACUUCCUGUGCAGUACAUCACAUGACCUGAUUACAACUCGGCCCUUGGAGUGAAACUGAACUACAACACAGGAAGUUGUUGUGCACCAGGAAAUAGCAGCAACUUUUACUUUAGUGUUAUCUUUGACAAAUCUGCAUAAGCAAAGAACCUGUCGAUUUUCAUCAAAUAAAUUGGAACUAGUCAUAAUAUUGAUAUUUCUUGUAAAAGGCAUGAAAAUUGAUAUCGACAGGUAAUAUGUGCGUCAAACCGCACAGGCAUGGCCAGUACCACUAGGGGGUGCUGUGGGUUAAUGCAAUAGCCUUUCACCUCUGGGGGCUCGAAGGUUUGAAUCCAGCUCGGCUCACAAAUCAAAUCUGGUUGAUGGGUUUAACUUAGUCUGACUCACAAAGCUACCACGCAAUGUGGCACACAGAUGUUCAGGUCAUGAUUAUCAGGGUACAUUGGUGAAACGGGGCUCAGGGUAUCAAUAUAACUAGAAUAAGCUUGAUGCAGUUUGACACAUUUUUGAGGAACUCUAAAAUGAAUGUGUGUAAAUAGGUUGGACAACAAAAGAGUUUUUAGGCGAUACCUUUAAAUAGGAUCAGCUGAAUCCAGACAUAAAACCGUUCGCCUUUGAGACCACAAAGUGUACUCUUGAGGUGAGAAGUGAAGCAAGCUGGUUUGAGUUUAUCGUCAGGGCAAGGAGCAGUAUUGUAUUCCUUCUGACAAAUGAAGGUUAAGAAUUUCUCAUCUAUCUGCUAGGGGGGUUGCGGAUUGUAGCAUUCAGUGUAACGAGAAUUCCAAAAACAGCUGAUGAAUGGCAGGCUUGAUUUCCCCAGUUAAUUAAAAUAUGUGAUCUGCUACCCAUUACUGAAACAUGUGUCCCAGCAUUGCACGAUUCAGGAUUCUAAAAUGGCUUUAAAUUUAUAUAUUUUGUGCUAUAACAAAUUACAUUUACAUAUUCUGUUUUAUCUCCGCUACGCUCCCCUGCCUCCAGAGCCCGCUCCUUCUCCACCCUCGCCCCGCAGUGGUGGAAUGACCUUCCUACAGAUGUCAGGACUGCCCAGUCCCUGACCACCUUCCGGCGCCUCCUUAAGACUCACCUUUUCAGACAGCACCUGUAGAACUCCUCUGUUUUUCCCCUGGGACACUUAUCACUCUUCCUUAAAUGCGGUUUACUUGCUCUUAUUUGCCCCCUAUUUUACUGCAUUUAAUCCUGUACUUCAGAGUACUGUAAUCUGUCAAGUGUUUAAUCUGUAGUAUUUUGUAUUUAAUCAUAUCCUGAUAUAACUAUCACUGUUAUCUGCUGUAUUAUUGAAUUGUAUUUUGUCACACUUGUACUUUGCUUGAACAAAAGUCAUUGUAUUUAUCUUGCUCUUAUUGUAUUACUUGUAUUGUAACACUUGAAAUGUAUUUGCUUACGAUUGUAAGUCGCCCUGGAUAAGGGC
Molecule: RNA transcript, 3153 nt
Organism: Acipenser ruthenus (sterlet)
Lineage: Eukaryota; Metazoa; Chordata; Actinopteri; Acipenseriformes; Acipenseridae
Gene name: protein canopy homolog 3-like
Exons: 5
Source: RefSeq, a predicted model, not a curated record